GUGCUCACUUUGGCAGCUCAUAUACUAAAAUUGGAAUGAUACAGAUUAACAUAGCCCCUGCACGAGAAUGACACGCAAAUUUGUUAAGUGUUCCAUAUAAAA
Alligator mississippiensis (American alligator) is the source of this 102-nucleotide small nuclear RNA. The record is from Rfam. NCBI's taxonomy places the organism in Eukaryota, Metazoa, Chordata, Crocodylia, Alligatoridae.